UUAAACUGAAGAGUUUGAUCAUGGCUCAGAUUGAACGCUGGCGGCAGGCUUAACACAUGCAAGUCGAGCGGAAACGAUGGGUGCUUGCACCCAGGCGUCGAGCGGCGGACGGGUGAGUAAUGCUUAGGAAUCUGCCCAGUAGUAGGGGAUAGCCCGGGGAAACUCGGAUUAAUACCGUAUACGCCCUUUUGGGGAAAGCAGGGGAUCUUCGGGCCUUGCGCUAUUGGAUGAGCCUAAGUCGGAUUAGUUAGUUGGUGGGGUAAAGGCCUACCAAGGCAACGAUCCGUAGCUGGUUUGAGAGGAUGAUCAGCCACAUCGGGACUGAGACACGGCCCGAACUCCUACGGGAGGCAGCAGUGGGGAAUAUUGGACAAUGGGGGCAACCCUGAUCCAGCCAUGCCGCGUGUGUGAAGA
RNAcentral lists this ribosomal RNA (414 nucleotides) under Marinobacter adhaerens. Its description in RNAcentral is "bacterial SSU rRNA". It matches the Rfam family "Bacterial small subunit ribosomal RNA", at positions 1 to 411 of the family's 1533-position model. Lineage: Bacteria; Pseudomonadati; Pseudomonadota; Gammaproteobacteria; Pseudomonadales; Marinobacteraceae. The record is from RNAcentral.